This 22-nucleotide microRNA is filed under the name Caenorhabditis elegans. Its description in RNAcentral is "cel-miR-8193-3p". The record is from miRBase by way of RNAcentral. Lineage: Eukaryota; Metazoa; Nematoda; Chromadorea; Rhabditida; Rhabditidae.
CGACACUUUCCGGUUUUGCGAA